Long non-coding RNA from Corvus hawaiiensis (hawaiian crow), 7704 nucleotides. RefSeq lists it as uncharacterized. The transcript is spliced from 3 exons. Lineage: Eukaryota; Metazoa; Chordata; Aves; Passeriformes; Corvidae. The record is from RefSeq and is a predicted model, not a curated record.
UCAGAUCUUCCCUUGGGACCACUCCAGAUACAAAAUGUGUAGAUGUGUGUGUGAACAGGCAGAGAUGGGGAGGGGAAUCAGAAGUAAGGUUUUGCAGAGAUUGUUCCAGGACGAUAGUAAAUCAUACACUCACUCCUGCACUGCACAGAAUGUGCUAAAGGAGAGCAAGAAAAAUGAAGGAAUACACAAUUCUGCCCACUUCAGCAGUUAGGCUUUUGUUAGAAUACUCUUAAACAAUUACAAAGCUGCCAGGACUGUGUUUAAUUAAAUAUGUAAGUAUCAGUACAAAAAAUGCAAGCAACACUUACAUCAUGCCUACAAGGUCUUAUUGUUCUGUUUAUUUUUUACAGAUGGAUAUUUUUUCAGGAACAAACUUGCGAAAUGUUGAGAGAGAGAGAAGAAUGUAGAGGGAAGUAGUAAAAAGAAAUAUGGAUCCUACAGGAAAAGUGGCAGUGCUUAUAUUUCAGAGAGGCAAACAAAGUACAGUGCAUAUGUGACAAGGAAGUAUGACUUGAGUUCCCUACUUAAGGCUUCAUUGAAAUUGCCCAGUACUUGAGAGAAAACAGAUGACAGAGUAAUUAGAGAUGGUGCAUACAAUCUAUCAGUCACAGUCUUGAACUUCCUGUAGCUGAUUGGAAUGACCAGAUUAUUUUUUACGAGUAGACCAUAUAUUUGGGGGGGAAUGGGGAAAGGAGGAACAUAGCUGAGCACAAAUAAUACCUCUUUAUUUGCCUAGAAUCAUAGAAUGGUUUGGGUUGGAAGGGACCUCAGAGAAUAUCUAGUCUCUCCCUGCCGUAAGCAGGAAUGCUACCCACUAGAUCAGAUUGGUGACUCAAUGAAGCCUGAAUCUUUAACUCCCAAAAAAACUUGUCUGUAGAUGUUCAGGUGAGGGGAGGCACAGCCAUCCAGCCCCUAUGGCUCUGCUGUUCUUUCUGGGACAGUCUUUGCACACCCAGGAAAGUAUGGGACUGCUUUUGCUUCCAGUUGAAGAGGGGUUCAACUGUCUACAAUUUCCUGCGUACACUAAAGCUUUGCCUACAGACCAGGCAGGUUCCAGAAGGGCUGUGUCCUCACAGGGUCUUACAGGCUGCUGACUUUUUCCUAGUGGAAAAGCUGGUACAAGAUUUGAUCCCAGGCUUCUUUUUCUUGGCAUUAAUGAGAUUAGUAAAAAAUUUGCAUAUAAUCCCUAUUUUAAACUGCAACUAGGGUGGGGUAGGAGAAUUCUGGGACAAAGUGGUACAGUAUAUAGUUUAUAUCAUCUUGGCUAAAUUAUGUCAGAAAUACAGGUGCAGUCACCCUUUUUCUGAACAUCAACAUUUUCGGAAAAGUUAGUGUGCUAGAUGAGGCAGCCAAGGCAUGCUUCCUUCCCAGCUACCAAUAGUGCAAAGUAUUUUGAUUCCACUAGGCAAAACGAUUUUUAAUUGCACUCAAAUCCAUCAGAUACUUUCUGGAAAUCAUAACUGCCAUUGUUGUGGGGGUUUUCUUUUGCUCGAGAAGGGGGAUCACUUCUGCCCUGCGACUCACUACUCACAGCCUUGAGAGAUGUACCUGCAGGUGCCACGAGUGUGUGAUGACUCCCAGGCACAGGACUUAGGUUCAGUAAGAGAGGUGUUUUGGUCUAAGUGUUGGAGUCCUGGCUUGAGUGUUAUUUCAAAGAAAGAUAAUCACCACAAACUCAUAUGGUCUGUAUGUGAGGUUCUCCCAUAAUUUUACGUGAACUUCAUUUGUCCCCAUUUAAGAGUGUGAACCAAGAAAGAAAAGGGGUAUUCUUACACCAGAGGAAAAUGUCUGCAUUGUUACUUGGGCAUGAGCCUUUCUCAGUCUCCACGAGGGGCAAAUAAAGAGAGGUUAAGAUGAAAUAACAGUUGGAUUUGUCUUUCAGUCCCUGAAAGCUGUAGCUAUAGUUUUCAGAGAGGCUAAAGGAAUUAAGUGUAUAUUUCUUUUUCAAGUAAAAAGUCCAAAUCUCAGACAUAAGCCUAGAAAUUAAAUGUUUUGCAUGCCAUAUUUUAGCCUCAGAACCAAUCAUGUUUUGAGUUUAUCCAUGUUCCUUUAUUACCUGAACAAUCCCGUAGCAUUUAUUAUGCUAGUAGCAAAAUCUUAUGUUAAUUUACAAAGAGAAAAAAUUGGGGACAUCGUAAGCUCCCACAUAGAAACGCUGAUGAGGAAACAACUUAGUGUUGGGUGCACUUUCUGUGUUUUCCUCAGAAUGUCUCAGGUGGAAGAUGCAGAAUGAAAAUGCUCUGGUGAUAAACACUUGUGAAUGGUGAGGAAGGACACUAUAAUUUCAGGUGUAAAUCCGAUAUCUUACCCUGCGGAUAGAGGGAGAGGAUUGGUUCCCUUCACGCUCUUCUCAUACCUCCAACCACCCCCCAUCUUCAGGAGCUAUAUCCGAACCCUCCAUCUAAACCAAAAAGCUUUAUCUGUCCCUUAGUGAAACAUCUUUUAUUUGCCAACUUGUUUUUCCCACAGACUCCCGCUCCCUUUUGUGUUUGCGCUAAUGUUCGAAUGUCUACACCGCGUAGCCGAUGAUUAUUUGUGAGACAGAGUGAGUUAAUGCAGAUUUGCAAGCUGUUCCCAUUUGUUAAAUGUCAGAAAAACACAUGCAAGUCACUGGCUUUAGCACUUAGCUGCCAGCUGGCUCUUCUGAAAGGAGGGGACAAAUGACAGUCUAUCAAACAGCAUGCUUUCAAAGAAAGAGGAGACCUGUUCCAGAACUGCAGCUUCAGAGACUCUUUUAACAACAUAAGCAAAACUGGGAGCCAACCUCAUUUUUUCCCCCUGGCUGUAAUGAACACAUAGCUUAGCAACAGCAUUCCCCCACCCUCAGUAAAAGCGAACUGGAAUUACAAAACUUAUGAGGAAAAAAAGUGUCAUUUUCCCCCUCUCUCUCUCUUUUACUUUGAAUUUUAUUUAUUUUUAUUGAUUUCUUUCUUUUUGGCUCAAAAGUAAGACCAAAAAUGCCAAAAGGGAAAGGAGUGGGGUACUGAGAUCAGUCACAAAUCUCAGAAGAUUGCAGGAAACUGUGCCAAAUGGAAGUGUUUAUCCAUGGGUAAGUGCCCAGUGUAGAUUAACAUAUUUUAAUUAUGGUCUCUGGGUUUGCUGCACUCCCUGAAGAAUACAUGGUUUAGGCCUCGCUGGUGAGCCAAAGUUGUCAGGGGGAGGGAUUAUUUUUGGUCGUGCAUGCUGAUGGGGUGCUGUGUCCUCGCUGUGCCCGGAGUCCCGAGACAUGCCUUUCUCCCGGAGCAGAUGCUGCAGGAUGGCGGCAGCGCCGGUUUCUUUGUGCCACCCGACAUGCUCCGACCCUGACCCGGAGGCCAGCGCUGCUCCGCUGUGGCUGCCAGCGUGGGGGCCGGGGCACAGCUCUGCUUCCCGGGGUGAUGUCCGCCGGGACCUCCGACAUCACCCGCUCAUUAGGAUGUCUCUGAACAGCUGUCAUGGGGUGCUGACUUUUUGUCACGGUUGACAGCGGUGAGAUUAAAGCAGGUAGCCAGAGGCUGAAAAACUCCUUGUUUUGUUACGAAGCCCUGAGUCAUCUAACGCCAUUAUAAAUAUUAGGUGUCAGAUUUGGAUUCACAGAGUCACUCGUAGCCUUGGGUAGAUCCCAUUACACAAAUAGUCCAAUUUAUUACAGCAGGACUAUUUGUAUACAAGAUUGCCAUCAUUGUCAAGAUAUCAAAAUCUGGCCUGGUAUGUUUAAUGUUUCAUAAUUAACAAGCUGCAUCAUGCUAGUGAACGUCUUCCACUUAUAGAAUAAGAUUUUGACAUUUUCUAUGGUUUAAACUCAGUGCCAGUUAGGACAGGGCUUUGGGAAGAAAGAGUGUGGUGCCAGGCAAGGUCCAUCUUUUCUUCUCUGUUCUUAUUUUAAGCCAAACAUCCAAUUUCCUUCCUAUAGCAGAAAGAGAGAGACAGACCCAUGAGGAAGAUAAUUCAUGUUCCAUAGCUUGCAGAAGAAGGAGUCUCUUUGCUUACCUCUGUCACUGGAAGGAGCCCAGGUUCAGUGCUACCUGAUGGAAUGGGAAAAACUAGGUGAGAUGAAACCUUUUCCAAUUGCAAACAGUGCCUGCAAAGCCCAUUACUCUGUUGCUCAUAAAUUCUUUUCAGGAACACUCUCAAACAAUUAAUUUGGUGCCAAAGAUGCUCUCAAAUUGUCAUCUAAACCACAUGACCUUUCAGUUUUUUAAUCCAUGGGAAUAAUAAAUCUCUUGAUCUCUAUGCUUUUACCCUGAAAACCUGCCCUGGGCACCCCUGAAUUUGAACAGUGGGUUGGCUAACUCCUGACUAAAUCCCAGUGAGAUCCAGGAAUUAGGCAAAGUUGAGCCUCUGAAUCUGAUAGGUAUAACUUGAACCAUCCCUGAUGUCUUCAAGUUCAGCACAAGGCCUUACUUUACUCAAGGCCCCUUUCAUAGAUAAAAAAGGUCUAGCUAUUUAAACGAAAAAGUGAGAUAUCUCAGGUUCCAGGCUGUCCUCAUUCAGAUGAAUAUGAAAUAAGAGACUUCAAUUGCUCUAAACUUCUCAUUAUAGUCUCAAACUCUAGGCUUUGAGACUGUCUGGGGAAAAGGGCUAUAAAAGUUAUUGUUCUGCAGCUGGAGGAAUCUAACCCCAUUUUGAAUUUUGAAUGCUCAGGGUCUUCAGAGCUAUGUCCAUAGAGGUAUUCAGAGAUAUUUAGGCACCCAACUGCUCUUUGUCUCAGUGCCUUCAUCAAGAGAGAUCACAGUCUGCUUGGAUGUAAAGCGUAACAGAAAAUGAAAGCACCAAGCAAUAUCAGCCUGUGGAGAGAGUGAGAAGACAGUUGUUAAUCUGAAAAUUUCCUUCACAUUAGAUUCUUAUUAUCUUUCCUUUUGCACCAUAAACUGUUCCCUGCAAUUGUGCUUGGGAUCAUUCAACUGAAAAGAAAAGCUCCCCUGUCCAUCUGCCUGGCAGGACUGUCCAAAGGUACCUCCUUUUCUCCUUCCUUUCCUCAGAUCUGGCUGGUAAAGCUUAUCAAACAGAGCAUUAUGAUACAGUAGCCUCUCCAAACCUCCAAAGUCUGACUCUGAAUACUGAGAUCCCUGAAUUUGUUGCAUAUGGCACACCUGCAUUUUUCGUGGAUUGAAAAUAUUGCUAGGGAAAGACCAAAUUUGGCAGCCUGGGAGAGCUGAGACUGCUACAGAUCCACACCAGAGGUCCCACGAGUCCGGAGACAGAGCAUGUAUUCCCUGCAGAUGCACAGGCACACAAACAUAUGUAUUUAUACAGAGAUGGAUCCAGAUCCAUACACCUCAAAGACACUGCACAUACACAGUCAGCACCCGCAGCCCUUCAUGUCCCCUCUCUGGCUGGUCAGGGUGAAAAAUGUGGAUCCACCAGUAGCUGGGCUCAGACACUUAGUCUGACCAGUAGCUACCUGGGAAUCCCAAUCUCCCUCAUGUUGCUGGCACCUGGUCCUGGGAGGACCUGAGGCUGCGGCCCCCCUCCAGGGUGGUACAGACACCUUGCACACACCAUCCCAAACACAAGAGCACUAGCCAGUCCUAUUUACACAGCUGACUGAUUUAUCCCCUUUUCCUUCAGUUUCUGCUUAUUUGGCUCUCCCAAACCACUUUGGCCCUCCCUUUCCCCCCUUUUUCAGUUUUCUUACUUCUUCCAAAUAUCACAUAAGUUCCAUCCUAUCCCAAAACACUCUUCUCGUGCACCUCAUAAUGUGCCCCUGGGUACUGACCUCUCUCUGUCCCUGAGGUGCUCCAGAGAGCAGCUCCUGUGUCUCACUAGGGUGGGAUGAUGCUCCUUAUGAGCACCCCUGGGACGAGGCAUGACAGGGGCUCAUUUCUUCCCUGAAAUUAUUUGGGUGCCCCUUCCUCACCAUUAUUAUGCUCUGGGCUUCUCUGUGUGUGUGUGGAGAUGAGCCUUUUAUUUCACUGCCUGACAAAUGCCUGCUUUCUGACAGGAUUUUCUUGUUGCCUGGGUAGAUCCUUCUUUGUCUCUGAGGUCUAUAAGCUCUGUCAUACUUUUCACAUGAAGAGCACUGGGGUGAGUAAGCCCUUUCCCUUCGUUUCCUUGAAGAAUGUCAGGCUCAGACUUAAGCAGCAAAUGGUGGUAACAGCAGCAUGUGGUUCAUGUAAGCAACUGGCAAGACAAGACCAGCCUACUAAGUGGAGUAGGGUGUAUCUGCGGAGAGUGUGGGGAUCUGGUCAUCAGCUCAUGGGCUUCUGACCAGGUGAAAGUCAGCAUCCCCACUGGGCAAAAGGGUUAUUAGUGCUAGAUUUUUCUUGAGGCAUCACUGUCAGUAAGUAAUGGCAGCAAAAUACUCAACAGUUAAGGGCAUCAGAUAUGCACAGACACUUCAUUUUUAAGUGCACGUGAAACACAGAUUUUCAAGGAUGCUUAGAUUAACGAUCUUCCUCAUGUUCAGGUGAAACUGUGCAUCGGUUUGCAUCUAUUGUCCCUUGUCCUAUUGCUGAGCACCAUGGAGCAGAGCCUGGUCCAUCCUCUGACACCUCCCUCCAGACACUGAAAGACAUUGAUGAGGUCCCCUCUCAUAAACUGGAAUUUUAGACCUGAGAGCACCAUUGUUCUUGCCAGAUUUGAAGUUCAUCUGCCGUGAUCACCGAGGCUACUUAGUGUCUCUGAAGACCCUCUCAAUCUUCCUGAAUCUUGACUUUCUACUGUGAGCAAGAGAACAGAGAUAAAUCCUUAUACAUCAGGACUGAGAAGACCUUAACCUUCUAUGGGGAAGCAAGAAAGUUCCCUCAUGAGAGAAAUGUCUUGAAGCUUCUUCUGAUGCCUCCUUGAUCCCUAUCAGGUGGCAUACUGGAUCAAAUUGACCACUGGCUUCAUGCAGUCCAGCACUGCCUGUAUCCCGUCUCUUCUGCAGACAAAUUCUGAUCUACAGAUUGGGUAUAUCACCUGGAAAAGUCCAAAUCCACCAUGCUCUUGGGCUUUUAUUGUCAGUUUCAUGUCUAUUUUUGUGAUUUGUUUCAAGGUCUUACCUUCUCAAACAGCAAGACAUCAUGAGACACAGCUUACCAUAACACAGCACCAAUGUUUGAAGAGUUCCCAGCUCAGUGUCACAAAACCCACUGGCUAAAAACAUGGCUCAGACCAUGUUCUCAGAAAGAACAUCUAAUGAAGUGAUGAGCAUAAGCAUCUGCUAUCUUCUUCUGCUGCAUUUUUGAAUCAUGGUGUAAUGAUUUUAUCCAACAUAUCUAGACAGUGUCAUAUUUCAUCAUCUAGGUGGUAUCAUAUUUAUCCAAGCAUUUCCAUUGGCAAUACAAAUAUUCUGUCUUAUCUCUGAACUUUGUUUUGCAUCUAAAAUGGGAUUAUUUUUUCUUGAGGUAAUGAUCUAGGAUUCUGAAAAUCAAGAUUGAACUCACUGUUUUACAACAUAUUUUCCAGGUGAAUUUUGUGGAACUCUUUAAAAAAUUAACUGGAGAGAGCACUUCCAGGUAGUUGAUACCCACAGCUGAUUUCUCUAUACCUCAGUUUCUCACUUAAAAAGUGUGAUAAUGUUAUUUUCUUUACCUGUUUGCAUUCCUAUUUAUAUCUUAGCAUUGCCUAUUAGACCUCAUCUGUGUUGAUCCUACUGUAAGUGAAGCUAGUAAUAAAAAUAUCUUCCACCCAAAAGAGAGAUUUUGGAAAUGAGCAGUGGCACUCAGAAACAAGGAUAUAAAUUUUCAUCAUGCUAACAAUUUAAUCACUAUAAAUAAAAGAUUAUCACCAUGUUCUCAA